GACGAACGCUGGCGGCGUGCUUAACACAUGCAAGUCGAACGGAAAGGCCCUGCUUUUGUGGGGUGCUCGAGUGGCGAACGGGUGAGUAACACGUGAGUAACCUGCCCUUGACUUUGGGAUAACUUCAGGAAACUGGGGCUAAUACCGGAUAGGAGCUCCUGCUGCAUGGUGGGGGUUGGAAAGUUUCGGCGGUUGGGGAUGGACUCGCGGCUUAUCAGCUUGUUGGUGGGGUAGUGGCUUACCAAGGCUUUGACGGGUAGCCGGCCUGAGAGGGUGACCGGCCACAUUGGGACUGAGAUACGGCCCAGACUCCUACGGGGGGCAGGAGGGGGGAAUAUUGCACAAGGGGCGGAAGCCUGAUGCAGCAACGCCGGGUGCGGGAUGGCGGCCUUCGGGUUGUAAACCGCUUUCGCCUGUGACGAAGCGUGGGUGACGGUAAUGGGUAAAGAAGCACCGGCUAACUACGU
This 467-nucleotide ribosomal RNA is filed under the name uncultured bacterium. RNAcentral describes it as "partial 16S ribosomal RNA". It matches the Rfam family "Bacterial small subunit ribosomal RNA", at positions 28 to 506 of the family's 1533-position model. The record is from RNAcentral.